This 440-nucleotide ribosomal RNA is filed under the name uncultured bacterium. Its description in RNAcentral is "bacterial SSU rRNA". It matches the Rfam family "Bacterial small subunit ribosomal RNA", at positions 28 to 480 of the family's 1533-position model. The record is from RNAcentral.
GACGAACGCUGGCGGCGUGCCUAACACAUGCAAGUCGAACGGGGUAGAGAGCUUCGGUUUUCUACUUAGUGGCGAACGGGUGAGUAACGCGUGAGGAACCUGCCUUUCAGUGGGGGACAACAGUUGGAAACGACUGCUAAUACCGCAUGAAACUUUCUGGGGGCAUCCCUGGAAAGUCAAAGAUUUAUUGCUGAAAGAUGGCCUCGCGUCUGAUUAGCUAGUUGGCGGGGUAACGGCCCACCAAGGCGACGAUCAGUAGCCGGUCUGAGAGGAUGAACGGCCACAUUGGGACUGAGAUACGGGCCCAGACUCCUACGGGAGGCAGCAGUGGGGAAUAUUGGGCAAUGGGGGAAACCCUGACCCAGCAACGCCGCGUGAAGGAAGAAGGGCCUUCGGGUUGUAAACUUCUUUUACCAGGGACGAAGGACGUGACGGUACCU